This 253-nucleotide ribosomal RNA is filed under the name uncultured bacterium. RNAcentral describes it as "partial 16S ribosomal RNA". It matches the Rfam family "Bacterial small subunit ribosomal RNA", at positions 524 to 776 of the family's 1533-position model. The record is from RNAcentral.
UACGUACCGUACGAACGUUAUUCGGAAUUACUGGGCUUAAAGGGUGCGUAGGCUGUGCAGAAAGUUGGGUGUGAAAUCCCCUAGCUCAACUAGGGAACUGCGCCCAAAACUACUGUGCUUGAGGAAGACAGAGGUAAGCGGAACUUCGGGUGGAGCGGUGAAAUGCGUUGAUAUCCGAAGGAACACCGGUGGCGAAAGCGGCUUACUGGGUCUUUUCUGACGCUGAUGCACGAAAGCUAGGGUAGCGAACGGG